GAGUUUGAUCCUGGCUCAGAUUGAACGCUGGCGGAAUGCUUUACACAUGCAAGUCGAACGGCAGCACGGGGGCAACCCUGGUGGCGAGUGGCGAACGGGUGAGUAAUACAUCGGAACGUGCCCAGUCGUGGGGGAUAACGUAGCGAAAGCUACGCUAAUACCGCAUACGAUCUGUGGAUGAAAGCGGGGGACCGUAAGGCCUCGCGCGAUUGGAGCGGCCGAUGGCAGAUUAGGUAGUUGGUGGGGUAAAGGCCUACCAAGCCGACGAUCUGUAGCUGGUCUGAGAGGACGACCAGCCACACUGGGACUGAGACACGGCCCAGACUCCUACGGGAGGCAGCAGUGGGGAAUUUUGGACAAUGGGCGCAAGCCUGAUCCGGCCAUUCCGCGUGCAGGAUGAAGGCCCUCGGGUUGUAAACUGCUUUGUACGACGAAAAGGUGCCUCUAAUACAGGGUGCUGAUGACGGUACCGUAAGAAUAAGCACCGGCUAACUACGUGCCAGCCGCCGCGGUAAC
This 516-nucleotide ribosomal RNA is filed under the name uncultured beta proteobacterium. RNAcentral describes it as "bacterial SSU rRNA". It matches the Rfam family "Bacterial small subunit ribosomal RNA", at positions 9 to 524 of the family's 1533-position model. Lineage: Bacteria; Pseudomonadati; Pseudomonadota; Betaproteobacteria. The record is from RNAcentral.